GCUAACCUCCACUUCAUCCACCCCACCCCUAUAUGGUGUGUGACAUCCUCGUCGAUCUCCCCGGUCCCCUGAAUAAUUGACCCAAGGUACUUGAAACUAUCCCUCUUAGGGAUGACUUGAGAAUCAAGCCUCACUUCCACUCCCGCUUCCGUCGGCUCGGCCCCAAAUUUGCACUCGGGGUAUUCCAUUUUCGUCUUGCUCAACCUGAAACCUUUUGACUCAAGGGCAUGUCUCCAAACCUCUAGCCUCUCGCUGACGCCGCGUCGUGUCUCGUCAAUUAGGACUAUGUCAUCAGUAAAUAACAUGCACCAUGGCACCUCCCCUUGAAUAUGAUGCGUUAUGACAUCCAUCACCAGGGCAAAUAGGAAAGGGCUGAACGCAUACCCUUGGUGCAACCCCAUAACAACCGGAAAAUGCUCGGAGUCGCCUCCUGUUGUCCUAACCCGAGUCUUAGCUCCAUCAUACAUGUCCUUAAUCACCCUAAUGUAGGCAACCGAGACCUCUUUAGCCUCUAAGCAUCUCCAUAAGACCUCCCUAAGAAUCCUGUCGUACGUUUUCUCUAGAUCGAUAAACACCAUGUGGAGAUCCUUCUUCUUAUCCCUGUAUUGUUCCACCAUCCUCCUAAUAAGGUGGAUAGCUUCUGUGGUAGAUCACCCCGGCAUGAACCCGAACUGGUUGUCUGAAAUAGACACCGUCCUUCGCACUCUCAUUUCUACCACUCUCUCCCAGACUUUCAUGGUAUGACUUAGUAAUUUGAUACCCCUAUAGUUGUUACAGCUCUGGAUAUCGCCUUUGUUCUUAUACAACGGAACCAUUGUGCUCCACCUCCACUCUUCAGGCAUCCUAUUAGUCUUGAAUAUAACAUUAAACAACCUAGUAAGCCAUUCCAAGCCUGCUAUACCCACACACCUCCAAAGUUCAACCGGAAUUUCAUCUGGCCCGGUAGCUCUGCCCCUCCUCAUCUUACGCAUUGCCUCCAUGACCUCAUCGACCUUAAUGUCCCUACAAUCACUUAAUUCAUGGGGGUUGUCGGUAUUCCUUAAUUCACCUAGUACAAUAUCCUGAUCCCCUUCCUCAUUUAGAAGUUUAUGAAAGUAGGUCUGUUAUCUCCUCUUAAUCUGGUCAUCCCCUAUCAAAACUUUGCCGUCAUCAUCUUUUAUGCACCUCACUUGGUCCAGAUCCCGAGCCGUCCUCUCUCUCACCUUAGCGAGUCGGAGUAACUUCUUCUCCCCGCCUUUGUUCCCUAAUUCCUCAUACAAACGAGCAAAAGCUGUCGUCUUAGCCUCCGUCACUGUCAUCUUCGCCUCCUUCCUAGCUACCUUAUAUCUCGCAAUUUUCUCUCUCUUCUCCUCCUCGCCAGUGCUCCCUACUAACCGCAGGUAAGCCACCUUCUUCGCUUUCACUUUACCUUGGACAACUGCAUUUCCACCACCAGUUUCCUUUGUGGCCACCGGUGCGGCCCGAAGAUAUCCCUAACACCUCUCUCGCCGCCUUCCUUAUAUAGUCCGCCGUCGUCGACCACAUAGUGUUUGCGUCCCCACUACUUCUCCAAGCUCCCAUUGCCGACAACCUUCCUUCCAACUCCUGAGCUUUAUCCUUAGUCAAUGCGCCCCACCUAAUCCUCGGGUGGCCUCGUACUGACCUCUGCUUCCUCCUUAUCAUAAUACUAAUGUCCAUCACCAAAAGCCUAUGUUGCGUUGCAAGGGUCCCACCUGGGAUAACUUUGCAAUCCUCACACAACCUUCUGUCGCAUCUCCUAAGGAGGAGAUAGUCAAUCUGAGUCUUCGCCACCGAACUUUGGUAAGUAACCAAAUGCUCCUCCCACUUCGGAAAACUUGAGUUCGCAAUCACUAGAUCGAAUGCCUUGGCAAAAUCCAGCAGCGAAGUGCCCCUCUGUUCCGUUCCCCGAAACCAAAGCCGCCAUGCACCUCAGUAUAACCACCUGCAGACGACCCAAUAUGACCAUUGAAAUCCCCUCCUAUGUAUAACCUCUCGGAAGGCGGAAUACUACGAACGAUGUCAUCCAACCC
RNAcentral lists this long non-coding RNA (2030 nucleotides) under Nicotiana tabacum (common tobacco). RNAcentral describes it as "long non-coding RNA (NTAB_LNC019555)". The record is from RNAcentral. Lineage: Eukaryota; Viridiplantae; Streptophyta; Magnoliopsida; Solanales; Solanaceae.